RNAcentral lists this long non-coding RNA (715 nucleotides) under Lupinus mutabilis. RNAcentral describes it as "partial ncRNA". The record is from RNAcentral. Lineage: Eukaryota; Viridiplantae; Streptophyta; Magnoliopsida; Fabales; Fabaceae.
CUCUUAACUUCAAACACCUAAUGUUCCUUUCUCUUUUUGUCCUAACCAAAAAAACAUGGCAUUCCUUAAACUCUUCACAUUCUCAAUCUCUCUCUUCCUAUUAAUCUCUCACUCACUUUCUCUCUCUUCUUCUUCUUCCGUUCAUGACCUUCUUCGUUCAAAAGGGUUACCACCUGGACUAUUACCAGAAGAGGUAAACUCAUAUACUUUCUCAGAAGAUGGACACUUAGAAGUGUUCUUAGAUGCACCUUGUUUGACCAAGUACGAGAAUAGGGUGUUCUUUGAACGUGUGGUAACUGCUAACCUAACCUAUGGUAGCCUCAUAGGUGUGGAGGGUCUUCAACAAGAAGAGCUUUUUGUAUGGCUACCUGUUAAGGAUAUCAUAGUUAAUGAUCCUUCAUCAGGGUUGAUUCUCUUUGACAUUGGCCUUGCUUAUAAACAUCUUUCUCUCUCUCUCUUUGAAGAUCCACCUCAUUGCAAGCCACAAGAAGAGAUUCAAGGAGCAAUAAGGAACUCUACGGUUGGAAGAUCACAUACCCAGUAACCUUCAACCAUUAUCAAUGGCAAACUCAGAUAUAAAGAACAACAGGUGUGCCCUUACCGGAAAGAAGAAGUAUGUUGGGAAAAGGAGUUGGUUGAGAGAAUGAGUAAUGGAGAAGAGGAGGAGAAAGGGGAUAAAAUAGAGAUAACGUUGGGGAAUCGAUUUAUAAGAUAU